RNAcentral lists this ribosomal RNA (382 nucleotides) under uncultured marine Chaetocerotaceae. Its description in RNAcentral is "SSU rRNA". It matches the Rfam family "Eukaryotic small subunit ribosomal RNA", at positions 587 to 972 of the family's 1831-position model. The record is from RNAcentral. Lineage: Eukaryota; Bacillariophyta; Thalassiosirophyceae; Chaetocerotales; Chaetocerotaceae.
AGCUUCAGUAGGGUAUAUUAAAGUUGUUGCAGUUAAAAAGCUCGUAGUCGCAUUUCUGGCGAGAGGAUCCGGUCCGACCUUUUGGUGGGUCCUUGGGUCUCUUUCGCCAUCCUUGAGUGGUCCGUUCUGGCAUUAGGUUGUCGGAGCGUCAGCCGCUCAUCGUUUACUGUGAGAAAAUUAGAGUGUUCAAAGCAGGAUUAUGCCGUUGAAUAUAUUAGCAUGGAAUAAUAAGAUAGGACCUCGGUACUAUUUUGUUGGUUUGCGCACCAAGGUAAUGAUGAACAGGGACAGUUGGGGGUAUUUGUAUUUCGUUGUCAGAGGUGAAAUUCUUAGAUUUACGAAAGACAAACUACUGCGAAAGCAUUUACCAAGGAUGUUUUCA